UACGUAGGGUGCGAGCGUUAAUCGGAAUUACUGGGCGUAAAGCGUGCGUAGGCGGUUCGUUGUGUCUGUGGUGAAAGCCCCGGGCUUAACCUGGGAAUGGCCAUGGAAACUGGCGAGCUGGAGUGUGGCAGAGGGGGGUGGAAUUCCGCGUGUAGCAGUGGAAUGCGUAGAGAUGCGGAGGAACACCGAUGGCGAAGGCAGCCCCCUGGGCUAACACUGACGCUGAGGCACGAAAGCGUGGGGAGCAAACAGG
This 253-nucleotide ribosomal RNA is filed under the name uncultured bacterium. Its description in RNAcentral is "partial 16S ribosomal RNA". It matches the Rfam family "Bacterial small subunit ribosomal RNA", at positions 524 to 776 of the family's 1533-position model. The record is from RNAcentral.